GAUGAACGCUGGCGGCGUGCCUAAUACAUGCAAGUCGAGCGAACGGACGAGAAGCUUGCUUUUCUGAUGUUAGCGGCGGACGGGUGAGUAACACGUGGAUAACCUACCUAUAAGACUGGGAUAACUUCGGGAAACCGGAGCUAAUACCGGAUAAUAUUUUGAACCGCAUGGUUCAUGAGUGAAAGACGGUCUUGCUGUCACUUAUAGAUGGAUCCGCGCUGCAUUAGCUAGUUGGUAAGGUAACGGCUUACCAAGGCAACGAUGCAUAGCCGACCUGAGAGGGUGAUCGGCCACACUGGAACUGAGACACGGUCCAGACUCCUACGGGAGGCAGCAGUAGGGAAUCUUCCGCAAUGGGCGAAAGCCUGACGGAGCAACGCCGCGUGAGUGAUGAAGGUCUUCGGAUCGUAAAACUCUGUUAUUAGGGAAGAACAUAUGUGUAAGUAACUGUGCACAUCUUGACGGUACCUAAUCAGAAAGCCACGGCUAACUACGUG
This 497-nucleotide ribosomal RNA is filed under the name uncultured bacterium. RNAcentral describes it as "partial 16S ribosomal RNA". It matches the Rfam family "Bacterial small subunit ribosomal RNA", at positions 28 to 507 of the family's 1533-position model. The record is from RNAcentral.